GACGAACGCUGGCGGCGUGCUUAACACAUGCAAGUCGAACGGAAAGGCCCUGCUUUUGUGGGGUGCUCGAGUGGCGAACGGGUGAGUAACACCUGAGUAACCUGCCCUUGACUUUGGGAUAACUUCAGGAAACUGGGGCUAAUACCGGAUAGGAGCUCCUGCUGCAUGGUGGGGGUUGGAAAGUUUCGGCGGUUGGGGAUGGACUCGCGGCUUAUCAGCUUGUUGGUGGGGUAGUGGCUUACCAAGGCUUUGACGGGUAGCCGGCCUGAGAGGGUGACCGGCCACAUUGGGACUGAGAUACGGCCCAGACUCCUACGGGAGGCAGCAGUGGGGAAUAUUGCACAAUGGGCGGAAGCCUGAUGCAGCAACGCCGCGUGCGGGAUGACGGCCUUCGGGUUGUAAACCGCUUUCGCCUGUGACGAAGCGUGAGUGACGGUAAUGGGUAAAGAAGCGCCGGCUAACUACGUG
RNAcentral lists this ribosomal RNA (468 nucleotides) under uncultured bacterium. RNAcentral describes it as "partial 16S ribosomal RNA". It matches the Rfam family "Bacterial small subunit ribosomal RNA", at positions 28 to 507 of the family's 1533-position model. The record is from RNAcentral.